RNAcentral lists this long non-coding RNA (4486 nucleotides) under Homo sapiens (human). RNAcentral describes it as "HSALNT0096328". The record is from RNAcentral. Lineage: Eukaryota; Metazoa; Chordata; Mammalia; Primates; Hominidae.
CUGCAAGGCAUUUGCACUGUCACCUCUGGGGUUCUUUUUUUUUGUUUUGUUUCUAAUGGACAGAAACCUGCAAGUUAACAUGUAACUUCAAAGUCAGAGCCCUCAUCAAUAGUAGGUAGCACAACCCCUAGAGAAGAUGAUCCCUGGAUGGACUUGUCAGACCAUGUUCCAGUCUAACACUGAGAGGACAUGCAGUCACCCUUUUGCUUUGUUGCUAAGUUUCAGACAAAGGCAGUUCUGUCGUGGUUGAAGCAAGGACGGACGAGGGGUCUGAAGAUCCGCCUCCUUGGCCUUCUUUCUGUCCUCUUAAGACUGCUGCAUGAAACUCCCAGAGCUCCACAGAAUGCAGUUGGAAACUGACAUGGGAAAUCUCGAAGAAUCAUGACAAGAAGCUCCUGUCUGAGGAAAGGUACAGGAGCCAGGAGUGGGAGAGAUGACAUGAAGCCGCAGUGCUGGAUCAGCCUCAGAUGACAGUGAGGGCUGCCUUGUCUCAGGCAGUGGAGAAGAAGAGACGGGUGGGGGAAGGGGAUGGGGCUGAGCUGCUUAGUCCAGAUCGCCCUUCCUCGUCAGCCAUCUGCCCCAGCCCAGAGACCCCAGAGGACGGAGCGUUCAGGCUACCUCUCAGGCUGACUGAGUCAUGCAGCAUAGGCUGCCACGUCUCUGGGCUGGCGGGGCCGUCAUUAUUCCUGGCCUCACUGCAGCUAAAUUGAAGAAACGUUUGGUUUGUGGGCCACGUCAAGGAAUGUGUAAGAGCUGCCACGUUGUCGGGUCUGGGUUAUUGGGCUUUUCCCCUCCUUCAGAGAAGAUUUCCAGGCGUGUGGGUGGGGUUUCAGAAGAAAAUUGAUGCCUGCGUGUGAGUGUUCCCUGGACCUGGACCAGCAGCGGCAAUAUUACAGACCCGGGGGUUGGGGCAGACUGAGCCAAUCUGGUGCCGAGCUCCUCCGACCCUCCCCAGAGCAGCAGGGAGCCCUGCACCGUCAAAGUUAUGGAUACAGAGCCCUGGAAAAAGGCUGAAGGGCUGUGAAACCAAUAGUACAAAUCUUUAACCUUUGGAGAGUGAUUGGCCACAUCAAGAGCCGAAGGUGUUUUCUCAGUGUGGUUUAAUAAAAAGAGCAGUAGGUCGAAGAGUUAGUUAGCUUGAGUCAAGCCCCAGCUCUGCUAUUUAUUGGCCGGGAGACCCAGGCCAGCUCACUUUACCUUUCUGAACCUCAGUUUCUUCUUCAAACGAGGGUGUUGGAGCAAAUAAACAUUCCCCCAAGGAGUUUGUUAGGAAACGAAGUUCUGUGGAAUGCAUUAAAAAUUCAUGAAAAAGAGGACUCUGUGAUAGCUUUAACAGAGUUCAACAGGUUUCUUUUCAGCAGACAUUUUCAGAGCUUUUAAGGUUUCAAGGUGCCUCAGGAAUAUCCACGAGGAAGGUAGUGAGUGCUGCAUUUCACAAACGUGCUUGAACCCAGGGUCCCCCUAUCUUUCUGGAAUAUGUUAUAGGACUAAUAUUUUGUGAAACACACUUUGGAAAAUGUUGAAUUAGAUAAUCUACUUAUAAGAUAGCUGACAUUUAUGAAGUGCUUCAUUCAUGUAGCAGUGGGCCAAAUGCGUUACAUAUAUGAUCUCAUUUAAUCCUCACAAGCACCUCACAAGAACUUUACACUUGAGGAAGCUGAGGCUGGAGGUUGAUAACAUGCCUCAAGUCUUCUAGAGUUAAAUAACUUUGACCCAGGACCCAAGCCCAGAGUUCUGACUCAAAAACUAGGCCUCCUAAACAUCCUCUUAUAUUUGCUGACUCCCUAAAAUCUAUGUUCACUUGAAUCUUACACUGACUUUGUACCCAGGAGAGUGAAAUAUUUUAAUCAUGCUCAUUUUACAGAUAAGAACACUCAGGUUUGGAAAGGAAAAGUGAGCUGCUUAAGGUCAGAGUAUAAGCAGGGCCUCAGGGCACAGGUCCUACUAAGGGAAGAACCCAAAUCAGAACUCAAAUGAGUGCUUCUUUCUCCUCGGGUGAUGCUAUGGUUGGAACAUGUACCCCUAAAAGCAUGUGUUGAAAACUUAAUCCUCAAUGCAGCAGUGUUGGGAGGUGGGGCCUAUCGGGAGAUGCUUAGGUCAUGAGGGCUCUGCCCUUACGAGUUGAUUAACAUCAAUUAGGGUUUGAGGUUGCAAGUUCUAUCUCUUGCUCUCUUUCUCUCCCUCUCUUUGCCCUUCUACCAUGGCAUGAUACAGCAUGAAGACCUUUGCCAGAUGCUAGUCCUCAAUCUUGGACUUCCCAGCUCCAGAAUCAUGAGCCAUUAAAUUUCUGUUUAUUAUAAAUCACCCAGUUCCAGGUAUUCUGUUAUAACAACACAAAAACAGACUAAGACCAGUGGGUUUGUGUCAACAUGUCAACAUGAAAAGGUGCAGCCAACGCAUUAUUAACAUUUGUCACCUCAGUGGAGAGGGAGCCUCUGUGAGAAGGCGGUGCCUUGGUAAACUCUUACUGGGACCCUGGGUGGAGGCAGUGGGUGCAGUGGAAAGAGUCUUGACUGUUAAGAGUUUGGGAGCUUUCAUUUCAGCCCCACCAUGGGCCAACUGUGUGACUUUGGGCAAGUCUGUCUGUCUGCCCGCCCAAGCCCAAAAUGGGCUUAGUGAAUCCUGACCUUUCUACUUUGUAGACUAAAUGUGCCACUCAAUAAGAUUAGGGUGAUAAAAGUCCUUUGUGGGCCAGACACGGUAGCUCACGCCUGUAAUCCCAGUACUUUGGGAGGCUGAGGUGGGCAGAUCACUAGGUUAGGAGUUCAAGACUAGCCUGGCCAACUUGGUGAAACCCUGCCUCUACUAAAAAAUACAAAAAAUUAGCCAGGCCUGGUGGCACACGCCUGUAAUCCUAGCUACUCAGGAGGCUGAGGCAGGAGAAUUGCUUGAACCCAGGAGGUGGAGGAUGCAGUGAGCCAAGAUUGUGCGACUAUGCUCCAGCCUGGGUGACAGAACGAGACUCCGUCUCAGAAAAAAAAAAAAAAAAAGUCCUUUGUGAGCUACAAAGAGCUAAAGGAGAAACCUUCAACUGCUCAGUGGGUGUGUUGCAAGUGGGGAGGGUGCUGAGGUUAAAUUUCAUCUUCCUCUGUUUGGCCUUGGCCUGGUUGGUGGAUGCUCUGCUUCGGGGACCCAGGGCCAGAUGACAAUGGGUUCUUUGUGCCCUUCAGACAAUGGGAAGGGCUGCCUGGGGAAAGAUACAGUAACAAGGCAACAGGCUGAGUCAGCCUCCAAUGUGCUUGAACCUUCUUAGCUUGGCAGCCUUGACAUUCAGCCAGCCACACAAAGGGUAUAUUUGAGAGUUCUGAUACAUAAUCCCCAUCCCAAAGAGGUCAGCCUGCCCAGUCCCUCCCUCCGGAGAUUUGGAACAGGCCAGAGCUGGCUUCAGCCUGGGAGAGAGAGGCCCCAGGCCUAGCUGUCCACACUGUAACCUUGGGCUCUUUAAACCUCAAUUUUCCCAGCCACACAUGGAAAAUCUGGGAUUGAAUAGGGCUAAAGGGCCCUGUCAGUUCUAAGCUUUGAAAAAAUAGAAGCGAUCCAAUCUGAGCUUGAAGGAUGAAUGGGUUUGGGUUUGGGGCCAGUGGGGGCAGGGAGGCAGCCAUGGCCAGAAGGGCAGAAUGGGCAGUUGAGUACCUGGGGAAGUCAUGGAGAGAGGGCUCUGGAGUGGAGCUACCUGUGUGUGUUCCUGGCUUCUCCACUGUGGGACCUUGACCAAGUGAUUUAGUUCUCAGAACUUUUCUUUACUCAUCUUUAAAAUGAGAAUGGUAAUUGUACCCAUCUAUGGUAGACAAAGUAAUGGCCCCUCCAAAGAUGGACGUGCCCUAAUCCUCAGAACCUAUAAACAGGCUAUCUUACAUGGCAGAGGGGGCUUUGCAGAUUAAUUUAAGGAUUUAAAGGUGGGAAGAUUAUUUUAGGUUAUUUAGGUGGGCCCAAUGUAAUGACAAGGGUUCUUAAAAGUUGAAGGCCAGAGGGUCAAAGUCAGGAAAAGAUGUCAAGGCAGAAGCAGAGUUGGAGUGAUGUGCUUAGAAGACAGAGUGAGGGUUCACAAGCCAAGGAAUGAGGGUGGCCUCUAGAAACUGAAAAAGGUAAGAAAAUAGGCAGGGCACAGUGGCUUAUGCCUGUAAUCCCAGCACUUUGGGAGGCCCAGGCAGGCAGAUCACCUGAGGUCAGGAGUUUGAGACCAGCCUGACCAAAAUGGAGAAACCCUGUCUCUACUAAAAAUACAAAAUUAGCCAGAUGUGGUGGCACAUGCCUGUAAUCCCAGCUACUCUCGAGGCUGAGGCAGGAGAAUUGCUUGAACCCGGGAGGUGGAGGUGGCGGUGCGGCAAGAUUGCACCAUUGCACUCUAGCAUGGGCAUCAAGAGUGAAACUCUGUCUCAAAAAACAAAACAACAACAACAAAAAGGUAAGGAAACAGAUUCUUUCCUCAACAGAUUCAUCCUUCCUCCGGAAGGAACCCAACGACACCUUGAUUUUAGGACUUCUG